This 497-nucleotide ribosomal RNA is filed under the name uncultured bacterium. RNAcentral's name for it is "partial 16S ribosomal RNA". It matches the Rfam family "Bacterial small subunit ribosomal RNA", at positions 28 to 507 of the family's 1533-position model. The record is from RNAcentral.
GAUGAACGCUGGCGGCGUGCCUAAUACAUGCAAGUCGAGCGAACGGACGAGAAGCUUGCUUCUCUGAUGCUAGCGGCGGACGGGUGAGUAACACGUGGAUAACCUACCUAUAAGACUGGGAUAACUUCGGGAAACCGGAGCUAAUACCGGAUGAUAUUUUGAACCGCAUGGUUCAAUAGUGAAAGACGGUCUUGCUGUCACUUAUAGAUGGAUCCGCGCUGCAUUAGCUAGUUGGUAAGGUAACGGCUUACCAAGGCAACGAUGCAUAGCCGACCUGAGAGGGUGAUCGGCCACACUGGAACUGAGACACGGUCCAGACUCCUACGGGAGGCAGCAGUAGGGAAUCUUCCGCAAUGGGCGAAAGCCUGACGGAGCAACGCCGCGUGAGUGAUGAAGGUCUUCGGAUCGUAAAACUCUGUUAUUAGGGAAGAACAUAUGUGUAAGUAACUGUGCACAUCUUGACGGUACCUAAUCAGAAAGCCACGGCUAACUACGUG